AACGUAGGUUCCGAGCGUUAUCCGGAUUUACUGGGCGUAAAGCGCGUUCAGGCGGUUUGGCAAGUCUGGCAUGAAAUCUCUCGGCUCAACCGGGAGAGGUUGUCCGAUACUGCUGGACUUGAGGGCAGUAGAGGGUGGUGGAAUUCCGGGUGUAGUGGUGAAAUGCGUAGAUAUCCGGAGGAACACCAGUGGCGAAAGCGGCCACCUGGACUGCACCUGACGCUGACACGCGAAAGCUAGGGGAGCGAACGGG
Molecule: ribosomal RNA, 253 nt
Filed under: uncultured bacterium
Lineage: Bacteria
Description: partial 16S ribosomal RNA
Rfam family: Bacterial small subunit ribosomal RNA
Source: RNAcentral